Cynoglossus semilaevis (tongue sole) is the source of this 186-nucleotide long non-coding RNA. RefSeq lists it as uncharacterized. Lineage: Eukaryota; Metazoa; Chordata; Actinopteri; Pleuronectiformes; Cynoglossidae. The record is from RefSeq and is a predicted model, not a curated record. The transcript has 4 exons.
CGAAAACCUAAAGGACACACAGAUUAAUAAUGCUAUUUGAACCUUUUCCACCUGUUUCCGGCAGCAAUGUUGAUCUGAUAGAGUUUGAACACAGACCCUUUCCUCAACAUGGUAAUAAAAGCCAAAUCCACUCCUGCACUGAGGUAGAAGAGCACAGCCAGGCCAUGUUUUCGCUCUCACAGCCGC